CUUAAAGGAAUUGACGGGGGCCCGCACAAGCGGUGGAGCAUGUGGUUUAAUUCGAUGAUACGCGAGGAACCUUACCUGGGCUCAAAUGUAUGUUUGACGUAUUCUGAAAGGGAUACUUCUUCGGACAAUAUACAAGGUGCUGCAUGGUUGUCGUCAGCUCGUGCCGUGAGGUGUCGGGUUAAGUCCCAUAACGAGCGCAACCCCUAUCAUUAGUUGCCAUCAGGUCAAGCUGGGGACUCUAAUGAAACUGCCUACGCAAGUAGUGAGGAAGGUGGGGAUGACGUCAAAUCAGCACGGCCCUUACGUCCAGGGCGACACACGUGCUACAAUGGCCGGCACAGCGGGAAGCGAGGCAGUGAUGCCGAGCGGAUCCCUUAAAGCCGGUCUCAGUUCGGAUUGAAGUCUGCAACUCGACUUCAUGAAGCUGGAAUCGCUAGUAAUCGCAGAUCAGCCAAGCUGCGGUGAAUACGUUCCCGGGCCUU
Molecule: ribosomal RNA, 482 nt
Filed under: uncultured Sphingobacteriales bacterium
Lineage: Bacteria; Pseudomonadati; Bacteroidota; Sphingobacteriia; Sphingobacteriales
Description: bacterial SSU rRNA
Rfam family: Bacterial small subunit ribosomal RNA
Source: RNAcentral